This 95-nucleotide microRNA precursor is filed under the name Canis lupus familiaris (dog). RNAcentral's name for it is "mir-8799 microRNA precursor family". It matches the Rfam family "mir-8799 microRNA precursor family". The record is from Rfam by way of RNAcentral. RNAcentral also lists the same sequence under 1 other name. Lineage: Eukaryota; Metazoa; Chordata; Mammalia; Carnivora; Canidae.
GGGGGGAGCACUGGAUCUUGGGCUGUGUCCCCCAUCGCCCUUCGCUCUGGGGCCUGCACUGCUGGAUUCAGGCUCAGCAGGCCGCGCAGCCCCCU